This 254-nucleotide ribosomal RNA is filed under the name uncultured bacterium. Its description in RNAcentral is "partial 16S ribosomal RNA". It matches the Rfam family "Bacterial small subunit ribosomal RNA", at positions 524 to 776 of the family's 1533-position model. The record is from RNAcentral.
UACGAAGGGUGCAAGCGUUAAUCGGAAUUACUGGGCGUAAAGCGUGCGUAGGCGGUUUGUUAAGUCUGCUGUGAAAUCCCCGGGCUCAACCUGGGAAUGGCAGUGGAUACUGGCAAGCUAGAGUGUGUCAGAGGAUGGUGGAAUUCCCGGUGUAGCGGUGAAAUGCGUAGAGAUCGGGAGGAACACCAGUGGCGAAGGCGGCCGGCUGGGGGUGACCUGACGCUGAGGCGGCGAAAGCGUGGGGAGCGAACCGG